AGUGAACGCUGGCGGUAGGCCUAACACAUGCAAGUCGAACGGCAGCACAGUAAGAGCUUGCUCUUACGGGUGGCGAGUGGCGGACGGGUGAGGAAUACAUCGGAAUCUACUUUUUCGUGGGGGAUAACGUAGGGAAACUUACGCUAAUACCGCAUACGACCUACGGGUGAAAGCAGGGGAUCUUCGGACCUUGCGCGAUUGAAUGAGCCGAUGUCGGAUUAGCUAGUUGGCGGGGUAAAGGCCCACCAAGGCGACGAUCCUAAGCUGGUCUGAGAGGAUGAUCAGCAAAACUGGAACUGAGAUACGGUACAGACUACUACGGGAGGAAGCAGAGGGGAAGAUUGGAGAAGGGGCGCAAGACUGAUCCAGAAAUACCGCGUGGGUGAAGAAGGCAUUCGGGUUGUAAAGACCUGUGGUGGGGAAAGAAAAGCAGCAGGGUAAUAACACGGUGUUAUGACGGUACCAAAAGAAUAAGCACCGGCUAACUUCGUG
Molecule: ribosomal RNA, 492 nt
Filed under: uncultured bacterium
Lineage: Bacteria
Description: partial 16S ribosomal RNA
Rfam family: Bacterial small subunit ribosomal RNA
Source: RNAcentral